RNAcentral lists this long non-coding RNA (310 nucleotides) under Capsicum annuum. RNAcentral describes it as "long non-coding RNA (CANN_LNC019373)". The record is from RNAcentral. Lineage: Eukaryota; Viridiplantae; Streptophyta; Magnoliopsida; Solanales; Solanaceae.
GCUGGUCCAAUUUGGUUCACGGGAAUUAAUGGACCAAAUUCUACUAGGGGGAAUCUUUUCCCUUAUGCUAGGGGAAGUAACUAAAUGGCAGAGAAAUUAAACAACUACCUUUCAUUCACUUUAAUCAUCAUCUUGUCCUCUCUUCUUCUAUGAAAAAUAUGAAUGCGGACUAGGUUGUGUUAGAAUCGAAAUAAUUAGGUGUCAUAUGAAAAUAUCAAAACAAACUUUGAAGGGUCAUGAAUAAGAAGAUAAAUGAGAAAUACAUCAAAAGAGACACAAUAAUUCACUCAAAAUAAAAAGAGGUUCAGAC